This 143-nucleotide non-coding RNA is filed under the name uncultured Stichotrichia. The record is from RNAcentral. Lineage: Eukaryota; Ciliophora; Spirotrichea.
UUUACAGUCUUCAAUGUGGACUACCAUUUCUUUUAGUUUGUUCUCUUUCUGCUCAUGCUUGUUUAUGUAUUCAAAGUUGGCAGAUUUUAAGAAAAACAGGACCUGAAUUAAACUGAACUUGAAGAUCAAGAAGAGUGGAAAAG